Phlebotomus argentipes is the source of this 502-nucleotide long non-coding RNA. RefSeq lists it as uncharacterized. The transcript has 3 exons. Lineage: Eukaryota; Metazoa; Arthropoda; Insecta; Diptera; Psychodidae. The record is from RefSeq and is a predicted model, not a curated record.
UUGCAAUGCUUACGCGGAUGGAACUUACUUUACCUUUGGCAACAGCUGCGCUGCUUCGAACUACAAUUGCUUGAACGGACUCACCCCUACAUUCCAAUCUUAAGACAAUGUGGAAUGCAACCAAGUGGACUUUGGAUCCUGCGAUCAGUCAGUUUGCUGCUCUUAUGCUGAUGGAUCCGACUCAAAAACUUACAGCAGCGUGAGUGCUGCUGAAAAUGCCCAGAAGUGUCGUGGCGCAAAACGUUGCUACAUUUUGGCCAAGGGUGCGUGCGCCUAAGCAAAAAAAAACAGCACUUCAAGUCUUCAACUGAAUUUUGUCGCUUAUAUGAAAUAAAAGCAAUCAAGAAAAUAAAGUUCGUUCACACUCAGACUGCAGCGUUUGCGUAAACUUUCGUUCUUAUCUUAAAAUCAACAGAAAAGCGAAACUUUUACGUGUUUGGCUUUGUAGACCCAUUAAUUGUUUAUCUUGAGUCCACAGAUUAGUAAGUCAUAUAGACACAAU